UUGAUUGAUUCAAUCGUGACUCAGACUACAAAGAUACAGAGUUUGGGGUCCACCGGGGGCCCCGACACCCCGAAGGGCCGGGUCGCCCCCGAGGCAACUGGGUCGGAUAACAUGGGGUUGGAGGUCGGGCCGGAGCCCUCACUCGGUAAUGAUCCCUCCGCAGGUUCACCUACGGAGA
This 178-nucleotide unclassified non-coding RNA is filed under the name uncultured fungus. RNAcentral describes it as "sequence contains ITS1". Lineage: Eukaryota; Fungi. The record is from RNAcentral.